Cyprinus carpio carpio is the source of this 952-nucleotide long non-coding RNA. NCBI's taxonomy places the organism in Eukaryota, Metazoa, Chordata, Actinopteri, Cypriniformes, Cyprinidae. The record is from Ensembl.
GCUACGUCAUGAGGGUAUUACUCACCUACUGCAUUAUGAAUAGUGGCUAUCUGGACAUCCUACUCAUUUGACGAGGUGUUUUUGCAUACUACAUAGUAGUGAAAUAUGUUCGCGCGCGUGGGUGGUGUGUGCGUGCGUGUCUGUUUGAGUAAGAAUCUGGCUGCGCGCACGUGUGCGGGGAUGUUCCAUUGACUUCUAUUAUCUUUACUGUUCUAAUUUCUGUCCCCUUUUUUCUCGUGUGGAAUAUUGGGAGGUGCAGGCAAACACUGACUAACAUUUAUUGAUAGACUGUCCAGCCCAGCUUUCAAUCAAGCCAGAGAGUCACGGCGGCGCCGACUCUUCAUUUCUGGUGUGUGCGCUCCCACGGGUCACUCCAAACCCAAGAGAGGGAGGUAUGGCCGCUUGUAAUUUUAGCAGAUUGAGAGGCAUUUCCCAUCGUAUAUUUAUUAUAGGUCUGCCGGUGCUACUGCUAGUCCAACUAACGGUGCCACGCGCGCAUAUAAUAACACGAGCGGGGACGAGCCUGCUUUUCUCGUCUUGAGCAUAGAGAAGAGUGACGGAUCAGCGUCGUCUGAGGUUAGAAAAAAUGAAGGGGAUUUGGAAAUCAGCGUGUUGGGUCUCUGGACUGACGAGGAUUCGAGACUGACAGGAUACAGGGACAAAAAAGAGCCUGAAGAACGCCAGGUUGUGGCUAGAGAGCUGAUACUGCAGCCAUGGGCAUCAGAACAACCCUCGUUUAUUGCAGAGUUGUAGCGUCUCACCCAGUCCCUCACCACAACAGAGAUGGAAAUCACACAUCUACACACUCUCCUGUUCACCCACAUGUUUUGUGCAUCAACCACUGGAAGGGCAAACGGGGUUGUGUGGCCCUAUAGUCAUUCAGGUUGAUGUUGGGCGUAUGGAUUUGGAGAGUGCUGAAUGGUGCAUAUUAGAAAGCUGGAUUAAGGAUGGA